RNAcentral lists this ribosomal RNA (400 nucleotides) under uncultured archaeon. RNAcentral's name for it is "bacterial SSU rRNA". It matches the Rfam family "Archaeal small subunit ribosomal RNA", at positions 279 to 681 of the family's 1478-position model. The record is from RNAcentral.
AGAGCGGAAGCCCGGAGAUGGGCACUGAGACAAGGGCCCAGGCCCUACGGGGCGCAGCAGUCGCGAAAACUCCGCAAUACACGAAAGUGUGACGGGGCUAUCCCGAGUGCCAUCCGCUGAGGAUGGCUUUUCCUCAGUGUACAAAGCUGGGGGAAUAAGGAGAGGGCAAGUCUGGUGUCAGCCGCCGCGGUAAUACCAGCUCUCCGAGUGGUGGGGAUGUUUAUUGGGCCUAAAGCAUUCGUAGCCGGCUAGGCAAGUCCUCCGUUGAAUCCAACGAUUCAAUCUUUGGGCUGCGGGGGAUACUGUCUGGCUAGGGGGCGGAAGAGGCCGACGGUAUUCUCGGGGUAGGGGUGAAAUCCUAUAAUCCCGGGAGGACCACCAGUGGCGAAGGCUGUCGGCU